ACCGAAGAUGAUGGAUCGUCUGGGAUGAUCUCAGUUCCAUGAGGGGUGAGAGGGAUGUCCUCGAUGUCCACCAUGGAAUUGACGGGGACUCGGAACCGGUCCGGAUGGUGUGUUCGAAUUGACGGAGGAGUUUGGAUCUGGGUGAGAGUGUUCAGUCGGGCUAGCAACUCUAGGUUUUGCUUCUCCAACAUCAGCCUACUCUCCUUUUCCUGGGCCAUCUGGUCUAUCAAAGCAUUGAGCUUCGCGUUCAUCUCCACCUGGGCUAGUAGUUCCGACUGGGACGGAGCGUCGGUCGUGUCACGUGAUUCGUUUUGGGUAUUCAUAGUAGAUCUCAACAGUUGCUCGGAAUGCUCGAUUGCUAGGGCCCCACGGUGGGCGCCAAAUUGUUGGGGGUACGUCCAACAACUACGUAUAGGGACGUCGGGGUCGUCCUGGACGGUGGGCACUAGCAACCUGAAACCACAGAUACGUUAGAGCCCUUCUAGGAACACCGGUGGGGGUGUCGAUGGAAGGGCCUCCGACGCUCAAGUCAGUAACAGUACAAGAAAACGUAUUGAAAAGAAUCAAAAUAUACUAAAAAGAACGACUAGAUCGGAUCGAUCGGGUUAGUGGAUCAGAGAGUCGUUCAGCGGUCAGCCGGGGUCGCCGUGGCGUCCUGGAUCAACUGGUCGCUGGGAUCUCCUAGAUUGAGAGCGUGGAGGCGGAGUACUGCGUGUGAGGAGAGAAGGCGGAGAGAAUGCGUUAAGGUGUGAAUGAUUGGAUAGGUCGAGUGACCUAGUUGGUUUUCUUAUAUAGUAUGGUGUCUUGACGGCUAGGGUUUUUCCGGGAUGUCCGUGAAACCCUAGUUGUUCCGAUACUUCCGUGACCGUCUCCUCCACUUGCCUUCUCCUUCAAGUCGUUGCCCCUUGUAGGAUUUGAUGCGAUUGGGCCUCAAUGACUUGGUGUAUGGGCCGAAUUAAUUGGAAUUAACUCGAUUUUUGGACUGGGCUGAUUAUUUGGNUACGUUGAUUGUCCUCUCAUGGUUAGGCGGGUCUGGUGGCGUGUCUUCUCUGUGUUUCUCUUAUCUUUCCUUCCUUGUUGUAGGUGAGCUUGCCUUUCGGUUAGGUAAUCGGUGAGGUGGCCUUGAUUUAGUAGGUGGGCCACUUCCAAUCUGAGGGCGAUGCAGUCCUCUGUUCGAUGUCCAUGGUCGGCAUGGAACUCGCACCACUUGGAUCUAUCUCUCUGGUCGGCUGGUGCCCUCAUCUUUUCCGGCCAUUUGACCUUGUUGCCUAGAUUCCUGAGAGCUGAGACCGCCUCGGUCGGCGAGAUAGAUAAGUUGUAUUCUGGUAUCUUGGCUCUUUCUCGUGGUCGCUUUUCGUAAGGUUGGUCAUACUCUCUCCUUCUGUACUCUUGUCGUGGAGGUGGGUAAGGUUCAGACCGCCUAUCGCUCGUCCUCCUAUCCACCCUGGAGUCUCUUCUAUUGUUUCUGCUUGGUGAAGAUCGGUGGUGACUGUAUUGAUCUUCUUCCCACUUGAUUUGUGCCCAUGCCUUGGCAAGGACGUCCUCCAUUGUUCUACAAGGGUACUUGGUGAGAUCUUUGUAGAGGUCUGAGUCGGGCAGAAGACCCUUUCGGAAGGCGGUGACCGCCGUUUGGGUGUUGCAAUUGGUGAUGGACACCUUCUCUUUGUUGAAUCGGCUGAUGUAGUCCCGGAGAGACUCGCCACGUUGUUGCACCACAGCAUAAAGAUCCUCCGAUAUCUUUUCAAGUUUCCUGCUACUAGCGUAUUGCUGCACAAAUAUAUCUGUUAGUUGAGCAAAACUUGAAAUAGAAUAAUUUGGAAGGUUAGUGUACCACUGGAGGGCCGGUCCUGUCAGACUAGAACCGAACCCCUUACACAUGCAGGCCUGCCUCAAUCCACGAGGAAUUGCGGCAGUGAACAUCCUUUGCUUGUACUGAGCGAUAUGGUCGGUCGGAUCCGUCGUGCCGUCGAACAUUUGCAUGCUCGGGAAGCUAAACUUGAUGGGCAUCUCCACCAAGGCAAUCUCAUCCACGAAUGGGGAGUCGGCAUAGCAGUUCUCUGAGCUUUUGUGGAUAGGUGCCGGGACACCAGGAAUUCGCUGGAUCAACGCCUCCAUUUCGGCCAAUCUUAUGGCCAGGGCCGGGUCCAUGUUCGGAUGGGUACUGGUCGUGCCUUGUUUGCUUGAGUUGAUCUGGAAUGGUUGAUCGGACGUGUUGUUAUCUUGACCGGCUGUAAUCGUUUGCCUUGAGAUUCCGUCUGGCUGACACGUCAGGGUGUUGCGCACGUGAUCACCUUCCAGUUGGCCUGGCGGUACUAUUUGCACUUGGGUAGUGUCGGUCUGACCUAUCGGAAGAGAUCGACCCACCUCUCCUGGCGUUGAGUUGAUCUGGGUUGGGGUUCCCAUUACCGUUGUCCCGGCUAUCCCGGUUGUCCCGGUCGUCCCGGAUGUUCCAGUCGUCUUAGGUAUCCCAGGUGUCUGGUCUAGGACCUGUGUUUCACCUGCAUUCACAAGAGCAAUACCUGUGUUAGGAUGAAUUACCUCAGAUCCAGUGUUUCUUACCGAAGAUGAUGGAUCGUCUGGGAUGAUCUCAGUUCCAUGAGGGGUGAGAGGGAUGUCCUCGAUGUCCACCAUGGAAUUGACGGGGAUUCGGAACCGGUCCGGAUGGUGUGUUCGAAUUGACGGAGGAGUUUGGAUCUGGGUGAGAGUGUUCAGUCGGGCUAGCAACUCUAGGUUUUGCUUCUCCAACAUCAGCCUACUCUCCUUUUCCUGGGCCAUCUGGUCUAUCAAAGCAUUGAGCUUCGCGUUCAUCUCCACCUGGGCUAGUAGUUCCGACUGGGACGGAGCGUCGGUCGCGUCACGUGAUUCGUUUUGGGUAUUCAUAGUAGAUCUCAACAGUUGCUCGGAAUGCUCGAUUGCUAGGGCCCCACGGUGGGCGCCAAAUUGUUGGGGGUACGUCCAACAACUACGUAUAGGGACGUCGGGGUCGUCCUGGACGGUGGGCACUAGCAACCUGAAACCACAGAUACGUUAGAGCCCUUCUAGGAACACCGGUGGGGGUGUCGAUGGAAGGGCCUCCGACGCUCAAGUCAGUAACAGUACAAGAAAACGUAUUGAAAAGAAUCAAAAUAUAUUAAAAAGAACGACUAGAUCGGAUCGAUCGGGUUAGUGGAUCAGAGAGUCGUUCAGCAGUCAGCCGGGGUCGCCGUGGCGUCCUGGAUCAACUGGUCGCUGGGAUCUCCUAGAUUGAGAGCGUGGAGGCGGAGUACUGCGUGUGAGGAGAGAAGGCGG
Molecule: long non-coding RNA, 3288 nt
Filed under: Salvia miltiorrhiza (redroot sage)
Lineage: Eukaryota; Viridiplantae; Streptophyta; Magnoliopsida; Lamiales; Lamiaceae
Description: long non-coding RNA (SMIL_LNC010356)
Source: RNAcentral